RNAcentral lists this ribosomal RNA (980 nucleotides) under Nodosilinea foveolarum CCALA 085. RNAcentral describes it as "bacterial SSU rRNA". It matches the Rfam family "Bacterial small subunit ribosomal RNA", at positions 401 to 1398 of the family's 1533-position model. The record is from RNAcentral. Lineage: Bacteria; Bacillati; Cyanobacteriota; Cyanophyceae; Nodosilineales; Nodosilineaceae.
GCAAGGAGGAAGGCUUUUGGGUUGUAAACCUCUUUUAUCANGGAAGAAUCGAUGACGGUACCUGAUGAAUCAGCAUCGGCUAACUCCGUGCCAGCAGCCGCGGUAAUACGGAGGAUGCAAGCGUUAUCCGGAAUUAUUGGGCGUAAAGCGUCCGUAGGUGGUUUAUCAAGUCUGCUGCCAAAGCGUGCGGCUUAACCGCAUAAGGGCAGUGGAAACUGAUGAACUAGAGUGCGAUAGGGGUAACAGGAAUUCCCAGUGUAGCGGUGAAAUGCGUAGAUAUUGGGAAGAACACCAGCGGCGAAAGCGUGUUACUGGGUCUGCACUGACACUGAGGGACGAAAGCUAGGGGAGCGAAAGGGAUUAGAUACCCCUGUAGUCCUAGCCGUAAACGAUGACAACUAGGCGUGGUUCGUUCGACCCGAGCCGUGCCGUAGCCAACGCGUUAAGUUGUCCGCCUGGGGAGUACGCACGCAAGUGUGUAACUCAAAGGAAUUGACGGGGGCCCGCACAAGCGGUGGAGUAUGUGGUUUUAUUCGAUGCAACGCGAAGAACCUUACCAAGGCUUGACAUCCUCGGAACCCUGAUGAAAGUUAGGGGUGCCUUCGGGAGCUGAGAGACAGGUGGUGCAUGGCUGUCGUCAGCUCCGUGUCGUGAGAUGUUGGGUUAAGUCCCGCAACGAGCGCAACCCACGUUUUUAGUUGCCAGCAUUCAGUUGGGCACUCUAGAGAGACUGCCGGUGACAAACCGGAGGAAGGUGUGGAUGACGUCAAGUCAGCAUGCCCCAUACGCCUUGGGCUACACACGUACUACAAUGCUUCGGACAAAGAGCAGCCAGCCAGCGAUGGUGAGCCAAUCUUAUAAACCGGCGCUCAGUUCAGAUUGCAGGCUGCAACUCGCCUGCAUGAAGGCGGAAUCGCUAGUAAUCGCAGGUCAGCAUACUNCGGUGAAUACGUUCCCGGGCCUUGUACACACCGCCCGUC